Molecule: ribosomal RNA, 468 nt
Filed under: uncultured bacterium
Lineage: Bacteria
Description: partial 16S ribosomal RNA
Rfam family: Bacterial small subunit ribosomal RNA
Source: RNAcentral
GACGAACGCUGGCGGCGUGCUUAACACAUGCCAGUCGAACGGAAAGGCCCUGCUUUUGUGGGGUGCUCGAGUGGCGAACGGGUGAGUAACACGUGAGUAACCUGCCCUUGACUUUGGGAUAACUUCAGGAAACUGGGGCUAAUACCGGAUAGGAGCUCCUGCUGCAUGGUGGGGGUUGGAAAGUUUCGGCGGUUGGGGAUGGACUCGCGGCUUAUCAGCUUGUUGGUGGGGUAGUGGCUUACCAAGGCUUUGACGGGUAGCCGGCCUGAGAGGGUGACCGGCGACCUUGGGACUGAGAUACGGCCCAGACUCCUACGGGAGGCAGCAGUGGGGAAUAUUGCACAAUGGGCGGAAGCCUGAUGCAGCAACGCCGCGUGCGGGAUGACGGCCUUCGGGUUGUAAACCGCUUUCGCCUGUGACGAAGCGUGAGUGACGGUAAUGGGUAAAGAAGCACCGGCUAACUACGUG